CAUAUUUUCAUAUCACAUUACGGUUGUUGCAGAUAUCUCAAAAUAUCAUUACAUUCAUCACCGCUUGGAAAUUACGGCAGUCAUUAGACCCGCCACCAGAUUGCACAUAAUUGCAUUCUCCCUGUUGACAGACAGCCUGCAACACGACUGGCCGGCACUGGGAGGCGAGGCGCCCGCCCCUGGAAGGGGAACUCACACGUGCUCCGUGAUCCGUGGGACAGCCAGGCAGCUCUGUCGGUUAAUAGGCAUUAACCCCUAGCUCCACGCCGGGAUGUCUGCAGCUGGUCCAAGCAAAGCUCCAGGGAGCUGCCUUGUACAGACCUUGGUGGAUGCCCCAAACCAACAAGGAAUUCAGUGUGACAAAAAGAGAGUGCUGGGCCUUCAAACAACUAAAUGCUCCCAUCUGAAAUCCUGGGGAUCAAAUGCAGGGUCUUCCCAUUGAGCUUCUCCCGAGGGUCUCACUAAAUUGCUAAACUGCCCAGCUGAUGUUACACACCUGUGAUCCUAACACCUAGGAGACUGAGGCAGGAGGAUCUCUGCAAGUUCAAGGCCAG
RNAcentral lists this long non-coding RNA (554 nucleotides) under Chinchilla lanigera (long-tailed chinchilla). RNAcentral's name for it is "lncRNA (ENSCLAG00000029094.1)". The record is from RNAcentral. Lineage: Eukaryota; Metazoa; Chordata; Mammalia; Rodentia; Chinchillidae.